This 7128-nucleotide long non-coding RNA is filed under the name Populus tremula. RNAcentral's name for it is "long non-coding RNA (PTRE_LNC003095)". Lineage: Eukaryota; Viridiplantae; Streptophyta; Magnoliopsida; Malpighiales; Salicaceae. The record is from RNAcentral.
AUAAAAUCAAAAGGGGAGGUCUGGGGGAGAAGAAGAAGGAAAUAAAAUCAGAGGGAAAGGUGGGGGACGAGUCUGUCGGAGCAAAACAAUUCCAGCGGGGGGAUAAAAAAAAAAUAGCCGGAGAGGAGAGAUUAGCCGUGGCCUUUGGUUUUGGGAGAGCUGGUAAAUGAAGGCCUGGUGUUGAUGACCGGUGGCUGGGUUAAGGAGGAGGAAAUCCGGCCUGGUUUGGGUCGAAAAAAAUGAAACCGGGGAGGGGAGGCAGCUAUGUGUUGUUGGCUGGAAAAGCCAAACGAAGAGGGGGGAACAGUGUGACGGCUGGCUUGGUAGAGGUAGAUUUUAGGGUUUUUCUUUUGUGUUGUCUCUCCCCUCAAAAAUAUCAAAAUUGCCCCCCCCCCUUUUGUGUGAGUUAAAGACCAGUAUUUAUAGGCCAAAAUGUUGCCAAGUUUUGCAACUUGGUCCCUCAACUUCUUUCUUUUUGUAAAUUUUGAUUUUUCUUAUUUUUUUGUAUUUUUUGAAAACGAGCAAUAUCAACGUCGACUCAACGAGGAAAAUCAAUGUUUUUAAAAAUGACGCGUGAAAAGUCGAACGCGUUUGAAAAUCUUUUAAAAAUUUAAAUUCUUUUUUUUUAGACGACGUUGAAAAUGCUAAAAGGACAAAAAUAUAUUAAAAAAACAUAUUUUUUGGAUUUUCAUUAUUUUUCUCUAUUUUUGGAUUUUUUUUUAACAUAUAUCAAAAACAUGGGUCAAAAAUUGGGUAGCAAUAGAUGCCCCCUCUUUACAAUGCUUACGAAGCGAAAAUCCUCAAAAUUUUGCAUAGUAAGCUUUGUAAAGAAAACAAAAGGAAAAUGAUUUCAUUAUCUUGGGCAACCUGCCCACACACUCACACUUAUCUAUUUUCACGGGCGACCUGCCCACACAUACUCACUCUGGUCUAUUUUCACGGGCGACCGACCCACCCAAACUCACUCUAGUCUAUUUUCACGGGCGACCGACCCACACUCUCACACUGGUCUAUUUUCACGGGCGACCUGCCCUUUUAAUUGGGUUUACCUGAGAUCCCAUCUGGCGACCUCUCGACUGGCACGAAAAUAUGUGUAACUCGGUUAACCUGAAAUCCCAUCUGGCGAUUUCCUUUAACCAAAGCUACAUGAGAUCCCAUCUGGAGACCUCAUUCAACUGGAACGAACAUAUGUGUAACUCGGUUAACCUGAAAUCCCAUCUGGCGAUUCCCUUUAACCAAAGCUACAUGAGAUCCCAUCUGGCGACCUCAUUUAACCAAAACAAAAGAAUGUGUAAAAAAUGUUCUCAUUGUAUGGGUGACCUACCCAAGAAAAAUGAUGGUCUCAUCGUAAAUCUUGGUGGUAUGCAUAUGUUCGAUGUUCAUCCAAAUGCACUCACCCGAUAACAUCUGUCCGGAGUCAUAUCCAUGUUUUACAAAGUAACCUAAGAUGAAGAUAUGAAAAUAUCUUUCUAGUGCAGCGUUGCUCAACAAUUGCUGCUGAAGUGCACUAGAUCAUGGAUUGUCUUUGAACAACAUUGGCCUCAGUAUGAUCUGAAGGUUCAUUCAUCGGUUUAUACUCAAGAAGGUUUUUCUUUGUCAUUGUCAGAUGCUAAACAUAACUUUGACGACUCAUCAUCGGAUUCUUUCUUUGCCCCCAGCUGAUCUGGAUACUGUUUGCUUUCCUUCUUAAGGUCCACUGUAUUGCCCCCAGGUGGUCAACGUUUCAAGGAGUGUCGAGAAAUGUUGAUGUCAUUUUUGUCAAGAAUUUUGCAAACUCAAUUGAUGUUCUUGUUUGAAAAUCUUUCUUGUUCUGGAAUCAAAUCUCAACAUUUCAACGAUCAUGUCUAUUCAAGUAUAAUUGUUGAAAUGAAAUCAGAGAGAUAUCAGUUUUUGAAAAGUUAUUUUUGAAAUUCGAGCUCCUUUGGUCAAAGACCCAACACACUAUUCAAUGCAGUCCUUUGAUUGUCUUGUAUUUUGAAAACAGAAAUGACCCGUUGUAAGAUUUAAAAUGACUUUUUCAUGGUUCUUUGUGUCCACUUUAAACUCUGAUUUUGGGUAUAUCUUUUGAUGGUUUAUGGUGAGGUGAUAUUUUUGUGAAUUUCAAAUGACUAGAUGCUCAGGCUUGAUAAAGAAAGGUUGUUUCUUUUCUCAGUAUUUAUUUUAUCAGCAUGCAUAAUAACCAGUAGCCUAAUUCAAUGAAGCCACGACUCUUAUAGAAAAACUCUUCAAGUUUUGAGAUCGCCAUUUAUUGGUUCAGAUUGCUUGCUUGAUUAAAAAGGGCUUUUUAAAAGCACGUAAUGCAGGCUAUGGUUCAUGGCUAUGAAAGAAAGGAAUUCCAUAGGCUCAAAAGGUGUUUGAGGGUUUCAACGACCUAGGACCAACAUUAACUAUUCAUCGAUUCUCUUUCUCUUGUCGUCAUUGUAGCGAGAGUGACAUAUAACCUUGUUAAUCUUCAAAUAUCAGAAUUCUCUUAACAUAGGUCAUAAUGCAAAUCCAACUUUUCUUUGAUGAAUAAACUAAUCUAAUUAUUUUUGAAGACAUUAGAGGCUCUAUCCAAGACACACCAAAAGAUAUGAAGCAUCGAUUUUUCUAGUGUUGACUUUUGGCAUUUGCUGUCUUUUCUCAAUUGAAAACUGUCUUGCCUCUCUUAGAAUUGAUAGGCAUUUUCUUUCCUUUCCUUUCUUUACAUUUUUUUUUUGCAUAGCCUUCCUCAAAGUUUUUCUUGGAUGGCCCUCAAUCUAUGGAUUUUCUUCUUCUAGCCCUUUCUCAAACAUUGGACUUUUGUUCUAAGCUUUUCUUUGAUCCAUUGAUUUUAUCAGUGUCUCCAAAAUAUUUCUCAUUUGCCCCCAGUGUGGGGUGUGAUCCUAGUCAGGGUUUUUUUGAAAGAAAAUAUUCACCAAGCUCAAAAUGGGACUACAAGGGAUAUAAUUUUAGAAAGUGAAGGAUAUCAAAGAUGGCCUUUUCUCAUUUCAAGCAAGGUCGGUUAGAACCGAUAAAUUUUGACCUCAUCUAGUGUAAUGAUUUGACUUGUAAGAAUCAUGAUUCACGAGUCCAUAACUAUUGAAUCCACUACAUGUCAUUAUGCAUACUGCUAAAACUUAGCUAUAUGAUGUGUGGUUCAGUUUCAAAAGGUAUGAGUUCAAAAUUGUUUGGUCACCUCAUGUCAUUUUCAAGCAUAGAGUCAUUUCUGUAAUCAAAACACUUUUAAUCUUCCGGAUUGAUUAACCUUUAUCGCAUGUUGGAGUUUGAUCAAAAUAUUUUGUCAGAAUAAAAUGCUAAACAUCUGUUGAUUUCAAAACAACAAAGAGACAAAAGCAAGGCAUGUUUCGUUGAAGGAUGAGAGGUGAUCCCAAAACAAAAUGCAGAAUUCCAAAACAAUAUGAUUGACUGUUCAUCACCAUUCUUGAAUCAGCUUUUCUGGCAAUAUUUGCGUUUUGUCAAGCACUUUCGAUCAACAUGUCAUUCUGAAGAUGUUCGGGGGGCAAUAUAGCCAAUGACACCCUCCUUCACCGACUCCACUUGUCUCUUGCUCACCAACUUUCAAACUCAAUUCUUGCAAUUCUUGAAAUUGCUCAAUUGAAAUGGUUGAGGACCCCAUCAUGACAUCACAUCUCUUGUCUGGAUUAAACCACCUAGAAAAUGGUGGUUGCAUAGGAUUUGUCGGAGUCAAGCAAAAUUCUGGAAUCUGGCAGAUGCUGGUCGACAAACUUAAAUGGCAGAGGAAUGUCCCAUCUUGGCAAAGAUAUUUGAGCAAUUGAUGCUACCGUGAGACCUGGCUAUACCACAUAAUUAAGGGCUCACACCGUCAAAGUCAUCUCCUGAUUCACCUCUCAUCAUUGUUCUAGAAUCCAUGGCAGAUCCUUCAAUCUUUCUUCUCUUCAUAGCUUGUUCAAUUCUUCGGCAAAUCCUCACAACAUUAUUUCAAUCUUCCAAUGUUGCUAUGGUUGGUUGAGGAUUGUUAGAAAACUUUCUAACAGCUUGGUAAUCUUGGCAGCGCCCAGAAACUUGUAGUAUCGCCACUACCGACGUGUGGAAUCACACAUUGUCUCUAUUGGAAGAGCACCUGAUGAAUCUAAAACUCCUUUGUCCCCUCUUCGAUUUCUCACUGACAGUGCAGCAAACAAACACCUAUAGAGGAAGUCCUGCUCUGUUGAAGUUUCAGUAUUCUUCAUGUUUUUCAGUCUAGGCAUGUCUCUUUUCUCUACUUUUGCGUUUUAAUACUGACACUGUUGGAGGAAAAUCAUAGAUGACCUGAAACUACUGUAUUCCUUCUUGGACUUCCCACUUGCGGAUCCACAAACAGAUUCCUGCUGAGUGAGCUUUGCUACGUUGAAGUUUGAUGUCUGCUCAUAUUUUUCAGACCAGGUCUGGCUCUUCAACCUACUAAGAGGUCUUCGUGCUGAAACUGAUGAGAGAAAUAUUUGUAGCAUAUGCAACUUAUAAAUCCCCUCUUGCCUUCCCAAUUUGCAGAGCCAUAAAUUGAUUUUUGUAGAGAGAGCUCUGCCACAUUGAAGUUCAGUGUUCAAUCAUGGUUUUUCAGACCAUCUUGUGCUGCUGAACUGGAAUUGAGCUCGUAAUCGGGGUAACUUCAAAGCAGAUUAAUGCACCAUGUACAGGAGACCGGUAGUUGUUUGGUUCCAUUAGAUGAUGUGGAGGCGAUGAACAUUUAACAAUGCAACUGGAUAAGAACCAGAGUUGUCAUUAGUUGAUGACUGAAGGCGUUGUUGCUUUUGUUCAUGACGAAAAAGGAGAGAUACAGCUUCAAUUAGAUGUGAACAAGCAGUGUUCCCACAGAAGACUGUGCAGAUAUUCUCUUUCCAUUUGAUGUUCAACACUUGUUCGAGCAGAUCUGAGUCUAGCUACUUCACAUUUAAUGCUCUCAACCUUAAUCUGAUAAUGAGCCUCUAUCUGACACCUUUCUUCACCUCCAUCAUUUUUCUCCAAUCACGUGCAGCACAGCUUGUGUGGGGGACCUACCUUUCAGCCCGGUACAUGCAUGAUAAAUGUAUGAACAUGUAAUCUAUAUGAUGAACUCACCCUUCGAGAGGUGACAAUAUGGUCGUAACUCUUGUAUGAUGGACAAGAAUCGUGAUUUUUGCCCAAACUCUACAAUGAAAAUUUUCGGAGCAACGGCCAAUGUGUCACCCACAAGUCUUGAGUUCAAGAUGCUUCAAGAAGGGUUUGCCCUUAUGCAAAAAAGAUAGCACAUACAACCUAAGGACAGGUUCUAUUCAUUAUGUGAACAUGGGUAGGUUUUCUAUCUGGUCUCAAAAGGGUCUCAUAUCUGCCCAGUGACGUUCUUCGUAAAGACAGUAUGGGGGCGUUGCAAGGAAUGGUUAAGGCACGUAUACCCACCAUUACCAAGCAGGCACUCAGAUAUGAGUUGGGUGUUUCACGCAUCUGAACCCUGACCAAUAGUCUUAGGGCAGAUCGCUAGUUCCCCACCUAACCUAGAAGCUUGUGUGUGCUUUCAAAAAUAAAUACAGGUGAUGCAUGAACAAUUCUAUAAAAUGCAUGGAAAAAAAUUAACAAAAAGAUAAAAAUGCAAAAAACUUAAACACAUCAAAUACACAAAGCUUAGUCCAAUAAUGUCAGAAACAGUACCUUCCCCAGUGGAGUCGCCAUUCUGUCGCACCCCAAAAAAAACAUCAGCGGCGGCAUCGGCUGGCGAUUUUCUCGUUGUUGCGUUGUUUGAAUUUGGUUCGUUGGAGUCGCCACCUAGUAAUUGAUUCGGGCUACUAGGAAACCGGAUGUACUGGUCUUGUCAGAGAUUCGCGGUAAGGGACUGGUUGUGGUUAGGGAAGGUAUUAGCACCCCUAACGCACCCUACCUGAGGUAAGCUGCUUCGUGAUUUGACGUGUUAAAGAAGUUUUAAUAAUUGUCUUUUCAUCGGAAAUUAGAAAUAUCACUUACGUAUAAGUUAAUAAUUCUUAACCGUGAUCCGAUCAAAAUAUUAAAUUCUUCUUUAAUAUUUGCAAUUUUAUCAUUAAAAAUAUAUUAAAAAAUAAAACAAAUACAAACACCCACAUUCACUUUCACUAUUUUUUUGUUUCUUUUCUUUUCUUUUUUCUUUUCUUUUUGUUCACAUUACAAAUAAUAAAAACAAAUCAAACUAAAUAAAAAUUACAUUACAUAAUUUACAAAUUACAAAUAGUCCCUAAACUCCAUAAAUUGCAGCAUUGCCCUUCUACCACCCACAGGACCAGUAGCGGCGCGUCACCCAACGCGCCACCACCACUGGCGGCGCGUGGGCUCACGCGCCGCCGCUGGAAACUCAAAACAAAGCAGGGGCUGGUGUCUUCUUCCCCUCUGUCUUCCCACGCCGGCGGUGGGAGUCACCGUCACCUGCAAAGACCACAAAGAUACACAAGGCAGUUGUUUUAGUUUUGUUUUUUACAGAUCUGUUUUCCUUCUUCUUCUCCAGAUCUGCUCCGUCUUCUCUUCUUCGUGGCGUCCCGUCUUUCCUUCUUCAAUCGGUGGCUCUGUCGGAGGCGGGAGCUGUCGGUGGUGGUCACUGUGUUGACAGCGUGGACGGCGCUGUUCGGCUGAAGAAGGAGACGGCAGGUCUGCAGCGAUGGGGAACGGCUGUUUUCUGUGGGAACCGGGACUGUGGUUUCGUAGGAGGCGCCGUCGAAGGAAGAUCGAUGGCGGGGGAAGCAGCGUGGAUGGAGAGGGACGGCGCCGCCGCUGGGUUCUUCGGGUGGCUGAGGAAGAAAGGAAAUAAAUCAUAGGGGUUCUCUUGGGGGAGAAGAGAGGAAAAAAAAUCAAAAGGGGAGGUCUGGGGGAGAAGAAGAAGGAAAUAAAAUCAGAGGGAAAGGUGGGGGACGAGUCUGUCGGAGCAAAACAAUUCCAGCGGGGGGAUAAAAAAAAAAUAGCCGGAGAGGAGAGAUUAGCCGUGGCCUCUGGUUUUGGGAGAGCUGGUAAAUGAAGGCCUGGUGUUGAUGACCGGUGGCUGGGUUAAGGAGGAGGAAAUCCGGCCUGGUUUGGGUCGAAAAAAAUGAAACCGGGGAGGGGAGGCAGCUAUGUGUUGUUGGGGGGAACAGUGUGACGGCCGGCUUGGUAGAGGUAGAUUUUAGGGUUUUUCUUUUGUGUUGUCUCUCCCCUCAAAAAUAUCAAAAUUGCCCCCCC